GCCCCCAUAGCUCAGUCUGGUUCAGAGCGCUGGUCUUAUAAGCCAGAGGUCUCGAGUUCAAAUCUCGGUGGGGGCA
This 76-nucleotide transfer RNA is filed under the name Candidatus Woesearchaeota archaeon. RNAcentral's name for it is "tRNA-Ile". It matches the Rfam family "tRNA". From Rfam's summary of the family: Transfer RNA (tRNA) molecules are approximately 80 nucleotides in length. Their secondary structure includes four short double-helical elements and three loops (D, anti-codon, and T loops). Lineage: Archaea; Nanobdellati; Candidatus Woesearchaeota. The record is from RNAcentral.